UCUCUCUCACUCUUUCUGUGCAAACAGGUUGAAUGAAUGGUAAAAAUCACUAUUUAUCUCCUCUAUAAAAUUUUGAUUAAUGGGAAAAAGGAUUUGUGAGACUAGUCUUAGGCUGUAGCAAAUCUGGUGUACUUUGCACUAUGAAUUUGUCUUUGUGUGUAGUUCUGUUAUAAAAGGGGUUACCUAUAAGCCUUCUAUUUAAGCUGUACCAGCAAACUGACCAGUUACAAAGUUUGUUGCAGAUUCCUGAAACAAAAAGUAGGUAAAGUUUCCUUCUCGUCUUGUUUUAUGUCCUUGGGAGCUUGACCUUGUGAGUAUAUGGGGAUACUUUCUCUUGGUCUCCACUAUCUAGAGGGUGAAAAUUUUGGGGUUCAUGUCAACAGUUGGCCUAAAAAUUAUAGGCCACUGAAAAUUUUGGCCAAAACCACAAUUACUUUUGCAUGAACCUAGUAUCUUGGGCUCUUAAAAACCUUUGUAAGCUCAAAAUUGGCUGCUCUAGGUUCCUUCUAGGAAGGGCAAUAAACACUGUCCAGUGCUGUAGCUCAGAAGCUAAGGCUUUGCCAUUUCACAAUGGUGACUUGGGUUCAAUUCCCAGCUUAGAGAAUGUACUUUCUGUUUGAUAUUUGUGUGAUCUUUGCCAUUUGUUGAUUCUCCUCACCUUCAUGAACAACUUCUGACUUUCCAGCUUGAAUUUUCCUUUCUCUGAGCUACCUUUGAAGACUCUAGAUCUUGUAAAAACUGCUUACCACCUCUUUGAAAAUACCUCAUACACUCAUGGUUAAGUCAUAAACUUAGUUAAGGCUUAUUGUUUCACCUAGGAAGCUACCUUUAAUAAAGUUCAAAAGCCAGAAAUACUGGCUGUAGGUCCUUACUAGAGUCUAGUAAUAAGAGAUCUGGUUAAACGUCAGCUUAAGUUAAAGCAGAUUAUCCAAGCUAUACAUAUAUUUAAAAGGUCUUUAUGGCUCCCCACCACCCCCACGCCCCAGUUGAAUCUUGUUUUUCUGAAAAAAAAAGCUAUUUUCUUCUCAGUUGACUGAAUUGUUUUUCUCCAUUUUAUCUUCUUGCCACUGUUGACACCCAAAUGAGAGGACCUAAGAUAAUUUCUAACAGCCUGGGACUCCUGGGGAAAAGCAGAGGAGGAGCCACAGACUCCAUUUUGGAAAAACUUCUGAUUUCCUCAUGGAACCCCAAGAAGUGAAAGUGGAUGGAUCCCUCUCAAAAUCUAAGGCUUUGACUGGAAUGGCAUGCUUUCACAUAUAAACAUCCUGCUCUAAGGAAUCAAAGUUGACUUAUAGAGCUAAUAAAAGCCCCUUGGAAAAACUAGCUUCAUACCUUGCCUAUGCAUUCCCUGUACAGGAUUCUUGACCUGUGGCUAGAGGUGAACACUUAACCAUGAGUAGAAGCUCUGGAGAUGAAAAAGUAUUAGAAAAACACAGAUAACAAAGAAUCAACAGAGCGCUUGGAUAUUUAUGUUCAUGGCAUGUGUAUAUAUUUUACAUGUAUCAAGAUUAAGACAAAAAGGUUGCCCCCUUCAGCAUGUCGAGUCAUGUGAGGGUGGCUACCCUCUGGGGCUGCAGCUUUCUCACUUUGGAAGACUUAUGAGUUUUUUCCUGUGCCCUGUACAGUGAAGAACAAAGAAACUAGUGACAGUUUGAUGAGAAACAGAUAUACACAUAGCUUCAAAGAAUCUCUCCAUAAAGUACUUAUUCAUUAUAAAAGGAAAAAAAUAAUUUCAUAGGGAAGAAACCUGGUGGAUGACAUCUUAAUCAAGUGAUCAAAGUUACCACCACGACUAAUGACACAAACCAACAUUAUAUGCCUCCUGAUGUGAUGUGACAUGCUAGAAAGAAAACAACAUCAUUUAUACGGUAUUUCUGCCAGAGAAACAUAAUCUGCAUUUUCAUGUUAAAGUGAAGUCGAUUAUACAUAGCAUUGUUAAAAGUGAUUUUGGAGUUUUUCUCUUCAUACAAUUUUAAGGUUGUAAAGUUGACAGUCUGUUUUUAAUUCACUUUUACAAGUUGUAAAUGUUUUGCAAAUAUGUUUCUUUCCUGUAAGAUUUAUUUCUUAGCUGGUUAACCUAGACAAAUUGAUUUCCCAGAGGUUACUUUGUUUAAUGUUAUGGUACCUAUACACUAAAUAAUCUAUAAGGAUAAGACAAUAUACUUUGAUGUUUAUUUUACAUAUUUAUAAACAUUUUUGACUCAAAUUAUGAAAAAGUUUUUCCUAAAAUUUUCUAGUGGAUGUGCUGUCUCUUAACAUUCUCCUUAGCUGUCAAUUGAUUUCCUUGUUUAACUAUUUUAAAGUUCUUUAUAAUAGUUGUUAUUCAUAAAUCAAGUGCUUUUACUCUUACAAUAAAAAUAUACACUUAUAUUUCCACUCACAAUGCACUUAAAGAAAACUUUCAGUCCUGGUUACAUUUAAAAUAGUUACCUACAUUUAUUUUAUAUUGACAAUAUCUGAAUCAAAAACCCACUGAUAGCAUCUACUAAAGCUGAACAUUCACACAUUGCAUGAAAUAGGAAAGGAGGGCUUAUGUCCUCCAAUAGGUGUGUUCAUAGCAGUUUAGUAUAAAAUCCCCAAACUGCCUAUCAACAGUAGUGUCUCUCAAUAGGAGAAUGUAUAAGGACAUUUUAGUAUACUUAUACAAUCAAGCAGUGGAAAAAAAUAAACUAUUGCUUUAUGCACCAACAUGGAUAAAUAUCACAGACCUAUUGAUAAAUGAAAGAAGUCAGAAAUGAAAAGGCUGAAAAUUGUAUGAGCCAUGUAUGUGAAAAUCAAGAACAGACAAAACCAAUCUACAGUGACAGAUGUCAGAAUGAUGGUUACCUUUAGAGUUUAUUGAGUGCAAGAAUAUGGGUGUAGCCUUCUGGGAUGUUGAAAAUAUUCUCUAUGUUGAUUUGGGUAUGGCUUAAAAGGAUUUAUGCAUGUCUAGAAAGUUAUCAAGCUGUGCAAUUAAGACCUAUGUA
This 2966-nucleotide long non-coding RNA is filed under the name Homo sapiens (human). Its description in RNAcentral is "HSALNT0346884". Lineage: Eukaryota; Metazoa; Chordata; Mammalia; Primates; Hominidae. The record is from RNAcentral.